UACGGGGGGGGCAAGCGUUGUUCGGAAUUACUGGGCGUAAAGGGCUCGUAGGCGGCCAACUAAGUCGGAUGUGAAAUCCCCAGGCUUAACCUGGGAACUGCAUCCGAUACUGGAUGGCUUGAAUCCGGGAGAGGGAUGCGGAAUUCCAGGUGUAGCGGUGAAAUGCGUAGAUAUCUGGAGGAACACCAGGGGCGAAGGCGGCCGACUGGCCGAGUGCUGACGCUGAGGCGCGACGGCGUGGGGAGCAAACAGG
RNAcentral lists this ribosomal RNA (253 nucleotides) under uncultured bacterium. Its description in RNAcentral is "partial 16S ribosomal RNA". It matches the Rfam family "Bacterial small subunit ribosomal RNA", at positions 524 to 776 of the family's 1533-position model. The record is from RNAcentral.